AGCAAGGAAUUUAAGGGGAAGGAGUUCAAGGACGCCUUGUGGGGUGCAGCUAUGGCACCCAAUGAAAUUCAAUUCAAGUACUACCUCCCUAUGAUCAGAGGAAUGGACGGACAAGCAAGCGAUUACAUUGAGAAAGUAGACCCAAAAAUGUGGUCACGCCAUGCAUUCCGAACCAGUAGUUGUACUGACAUCUUGUUAAACAACAUUGCUGAGAGCUUCAAUGCAUGGGUGUUGGAAGCUAGAGAUUACCUGAUACUGACUUGUUUGGAGACUAUAAGGUGGCAAAUUAUGAACCGGUUCAAUUAGAAGAGGGUUGGAGCAGCAAUUUCAACAAACGUAAUUUGCCCUAAGAUUGUGAAGAAGUUGGAGAGAAACAAGUUGGAGGCAAUGUAGCAGAGCUACAUUUGUCACUGGAUCAAUGAUAUGCGGUUUAAGGUUGACCACAGCCACGAGGCUCGGAGGGUCGUAGAUCUUACUCAAAGAACAUGCGGAUGUGGGAAAUGGCAACUUAAUGGUAUUCCCUGCCCACAUGUAGUAUGUGUCAUAUAUCUCAAUAAACUGGUCCCCGAGUAAUAUAUCAGUAAAUGGUACCUAAUGGACAUUUACAAAUAGUCCUAUGCCUUAGGUAUUAAUCCUAUGCCUAGAUUGGAUGACUAGCUUGUUGAUUGUGAUGAGGAUCCUAUCGAGCCACCCCCAAGGAAACAACGUCGGAGGCCAACAAAAAAGAGAAAAAUAGGACUUGAUGAGAGGAGCCAGAUGAAAGUGCUAAGGUCUGUCGCAAGGAGUAUGAUGUACGAUGUGAAAACUAUGGUCAAAAGGGCCACAAUGCUAGGAGUUACCGCCAACCAGAAAAUUCCAAUAGGAAGAAGUACUCCAAAAGGGUUAGGAAGCCGAAGGCAGAUAUUGAAGGACUUUUAAGGACAGUGUCACUUCCUAGGACAACUGAAGCUAUAGAUACGGUUGGUCAGCAACCGGAGGACAUCCCACCAACGGCAAGCGAACCGAGAAGAUCGAGACAAAGGCGAGUCUCUUCGGUAUACUAGAGGAAAUCAAGGCCUAGGGGAUUACAGCCACAACAGUCAAGUACAACUCAAUAGGGGUCCAGUUGUAAUUUUUUUGACACAUUAACACACCCUUAAUGUAAUGUGUUUUAUGAUGGUGUAAAUAGGGUUGGAUAGUUG
Molecule: long non-coding RNA, 1181 nt
Organism: Alnus glutinosa
Lineage: Eukaryota; Viridiplantae; Streptophyta; Magnoliopsida; Fagales; Betulaceae
Exons: 3
Source: RefSeq, a predicted model, not a curated record